This 277-nucleotide long non-coding RNA is filed under the name Helianthus annuus (common sunflower). Its description in RNAcentral is "hypothetical non coding rna". The record is from RNAcentral. Lineage: Eukaryota; Viridiplantae; Streptophyta; Magnoliopsida; Asterales; Asteraceae.
CGAAAUUUUGGUGUUUCAAAGAAAGACAAGGAUCGGGAUUGAAGGUUUUAGCAAAGGUAUGGAUUGGUUAGCCAAGCAUCGCGCAGAGGAGCUAAUGCAUAGGAUGAUGAUUGUGACACGCUAGGGUGGACUUGGGCCUUAGUGAUAUAAAAUGAAGCUAGACUUAGUUUAAUUAUGUGAUGUACUUUUGUUUUCUUCUAUUUUAAGACAAUAUAACAUGUUGGUUCUUGUUUUGAACGAUGUAUUCCACCCUUGGGUGAUGAAUAAAAUAUUAUUU